Molecule: ribosomal RNA, 449 nt
Filed under: Engaeus fultoni
Lineage: Eukaryota; Metazoa; Arthropoda; Malacostraca; Decapoda; Parastacidae
Description: partial 16S large subunit ribosomal RNA
Rfam family: Archaeal large subunit ribosomal RNA
Source: RNAcentral
CGCGGUAUUUUGACCGUGCGAAGGUAGCAUAAUCAUUAGUCUUUUAAUUGAAGGCUUGUAUGAAGGGUUGGACGAGAAAUGAGCUGUCUUUAUUGAAAGAAUAGAAUUUAACUUUUAAGUGAGAGGGCUUAGAUAUUCUAAAGGGACGAUAAGACCCUAUAAAGUUUGACAUUUUAUUUAUUAAGAAAUAAGAUAAGCAGGUAAUUUUUAUUAAUGAGAUAGUGUUUUGUUGGGGCGAUUAGAAUAUAAAAAAUUUAACUGUUUUAUAUUAAUACAAAAAUAUUUGAGUUUUUGAUCCUUAAUAAAGAUAUUAGAGUAAAUUACUUUAGGGAUAACAGCGUAAUUUUUUUUGAGAGUUCUUAUCUACAAAAAAGUUUGCGACCUCGAUGUUGAAUUAAAGAAUUCUUUAUGGCGCAGAAGUUAUAAAAGAAGGUCUGUUCGACCUUUAA